UUCGUAGGUGAACCUGCGGAAGGAUCAUUAAAGAUUAUGAAUGAGUAGUUUACUGGGGGAGUCACCAAGAACUUGAGCCUGCGCUUAAUUGCGCGGCCAAUUCCUGACUUUCUGCUAUCAGUAUUCUAUUUCUCAUCCUAAACACAAUGGAGUUUUUUCUCUAUAAACUACUUCCCUGGAGAACUCGUUUCUCCAGUGGACAUAAACACAAACAAUCUUUUGUAUUAUGAAAACUUAUUUAUCAAUAAAUUUAAUAUUCAAAACUUUCAACAACGGAUCUCUUGGUUCUCGCAUCGAUGAAGAACGCAGCGAAUUGCGAUAAGUAUUGUGAAUUGCAGAUUUUCGUGAAUCAUCGAAUCUUUGAACGCACAUUGCGCCCUUUGGUAUUCCAGGGGGCAUGCCUGUUUGAGCGUCAUUUCCUUCUCAAACCUCUGGGUUUGGUUGUGAGUGAUACUCUCUUCUGGGUUAACUUGAAAGUGUUUAGCCGUUGCCUUCUGCGCGAGCAGGGCUGCGUGGUCAAGUCUACAGACUCGACUUUUGCGUAUCUACGUCUUAGGUUUGCGCCGAUUCGUGGUAAGCUAAGGUCAUAGAAGUUUGUGGGUGUUACAAAGACUGCUGGUGUUUGUCUCUCCGAGGUUUCACGGCUUCACCAAAAACUCUCAAAGUUUGACCUCAAAUCAGGUAGGAAUACCCGCUGAACUUAAGCAUAUCAUAGGCGCGAGAGGAA
RNAcentral lists this ribosomal RNA (727 nucleotides) under Kluyveromyces sp. ZJ15-G. RNAcentral's name for it is "eukaryotic LSU rRNA". The stretch from base 262 to 415 matches the Rfam family "5.8S ribosomal RNA". Lineage: Eukaryota; Fungi; Ascomycota; Saccharomycetes; Saccharomycetales; Saccharomycetaceae. The record is from RNAcentral.